Molecule: ribosomal RNA, 402 nt
Filed under: uncultured Bryobacter sp.
Lineage: Bacteria; Pseudomonadati; Acidobacteriota; Terriglobia; Bryobacterales; Bryobacteraceae
Also listed under: 1 other name
Description: bacterial SSU rRNA
Rfam family: Bacterial small subunit ribosomal RNA
Source: RNAcentral
UGGGGAAUCUUGCACAAUGGACGAAAGUCUGAUGCAGCGACGCCGCGUGAGCGAUGAAGCCCUUCGGGGUGUAAAGCUCUUUCGACGGGAACGAUAAUGACGGUACCCGGAGAAGAAGCUGCGGCUAACUACGUGCCAGCAGCCGCGGUAAUACGUAGGCAGCGAGCGUUGUUCGGAAUUACUGGGCGUAAAGAGUGUGUAGGCGGUGUUCCCAGUCUGUUGUGAAAUCUCCCGGCUUAACUGGGAGGGUGCAGCGGAAACUAGAAUGCUAGAGGGUGGGAGAGGUAAGCGGAAUUCCUGGUGUAGCGGUGAAAUGCGUAGAUAUCAGGAGGAACACCUGUGGUGUAGACAGCUUACUGGACCACUUCUGACGCUGAGACACGAAAGCGUGGGUAGCAAACA